GGGGGCGAAAGGAUUCGACCGGAUAGAUUGAAGAAUAGGUUGCGUAUUGAGGUGGUCAGGAGGCCUCAUUAAACACCUGGCAAAAAGUUUAAAUGCCGAAACACCAAUGGCAAUGGCUGCUUAAUUGACAGCCACGUUUCAAUAGUUCAUACCUGCGGGGUUAUUGAAACGACAAGCAGCAGGUUAGUUUAAUUUCUUUGUCUGGUGGAAAUUGAAUGAACUUUUAACUGGGCUGGUCGCCGGAAACUCUUGUCUGUCGGAGUUUCGGAGAUAAGAUAAAACAACAGACUACAUGCGUAGAUACCUAUUCGGAGACGUCCAGGGACGCGGGUUCAAUUCCCGCCGCCUCCACCA
This 354-nucleotide transfer-messenger RNA is filed under the name Candidatus Brocadiaceae bacterium. It matches the Rfam family "transfer-messenger RNA". From Rfam's summary of the family: Bacterial tmRNA, also known as 10Sa RNA or SsrA, is named for its dual tRNA and mRNA-like properties. Its role is to liberate the mRNA from a stalled ribosome. Lineage: Bacteria; Pseudomonadati; Planctomycetota; Candidatus Brocadiia; Candidatus Brocadiales; Candidatus Brocadiaceae. The record is from RNAcentral.